ACAGUGUUUUUGAGCAGAUUUAUUUUUUGCUUCUAGUUCUUUCUGAAGGAAGCUAGCUUCUUCUUUUUUCUUGUCCAAUUCCAUUAUCUUUUCUUCUAGGUCAUCUUUUGUUUGUUUCACCAUGGUUUCCAGAUGGAGACACUGUUUUUCAUAAGAUUUAUUUUUUGCUUCUAGUUCUUUCUGAAGGAUGCUAGCUUCUUCUUUUUUCUUGUCCAAUUCCAAUAUCUUUUCUUCUAGGUCAUCUUUUGUUUGUUUCACCAUGGUUUCCAAAUGGAGACAAUGUUUUUCAUAAGAUUUAUUUUUUACUUCUAGUUCUUUCUGAAGGAAGCUAGCUUCU
RNAcentral lists this long non-coding RNA (337 nucleotides) under Zostera marina. RNAcentral's name for it is "long non-coding RNA (ZMAR_LNC004630)". Lineage: Eukaryota; Viridiplantae; Streptophyta; Magnoliopsida; Alismatales; Zosteraceae. The record is from RNAcentral.